This 543-nucleotide ribosomal RNA is filed under the name Bifidobacterium adolescentis. Its description in RNAcentral is "bacterial SSU rRNA". It matches the Rfam family "Bacterial small subunit ribosomal RNA", at positions 158 to 711 of the family's 1533-position model. The record is from RNAcentral. Lineage: Bacteria; Bacillati; Actinomycetota; Actinomycetes; Bifidobacteriales; Bifidobacteriaceae.
GGGUGGUAAUGCCGGAUGCUCCGACAUGACGCAUGUCGUGUCGGGAAAGAUUCAUCGGUAUGGGAUGGGGUCGCGUCCUAUCAGCUUGAUGGCGGGGUAACGGCCCACCAUGGCUUCGACGGGUAGCCGGCCUGAGAGGGCGACCGGCCACAUUGGGACUGAGAUACGGCCCAGACUCCUACGGGAGGCAGCAGUGGGGAAUAUUGCACAAUGGGCGCAAGCCUGAUGCAGCGACGCCGCGUGCGGGAUGACGGCCUUCGGGUUGUAAACCGCUUUUGACUGGGAGCAAGCCCUUCGGGGUGAGUGUACCUUUCGAAUAAGCACCGGCUAACUACGUGCCAGCAGCCGCGGUAAUACGUAGGGUGCAAGCGUUAUCCGGAAUUAUUGGGCGUAAAGGGCUCGUAGGCGGUUCGUCGCGUCCGGUGUGAAAGUCCAUCGCUUAACGGUGGAUCCGCGCCGGGUACGGGCGGGCUUGAGUGCGGUAGGGGAGACUGGAAUUCCCGGUGUAACGGUGGAAUGUGUAGAUAUCGGGAAAGAACACCA